Long non-coding RNA from Drosophila miranda, 861 nucleotides. RefSeq lists it as uncharacterized. The record is from RefSeq and is a predicted model, not a curated record. Lineage: Eukaryota; Metazoa; Arthropoda; Insecta; Diptera; Drosophilidae. The transcript is spliced from 2 exons.
UACCGCAAAUAUACCGAUGACUAAAACUAACUUAGCCCUCUUAGCCCCCUCUAUUUAAACAAGGGAACAAGUUGAAUAAAACCGCUGAAAAUAAUACUGUUUGUAAAUUCUUCUUUUAGAUCCUCUUAACUUACUAAAAGCAUCAUUCUAUCUUUCACCUGAUCAGUUUGAACCUGACCCGUUGGGGUAUUGACGGAUCGAUACUGCAUUCACGAUUGCGUGCAUCGCGUGCAGCAGCUGGUACAUUAUUUAUUUAUACUACGAACGUGCGCACGAUGGUGCGACAUCAUCUUCCCUCCUGCACCAUGCUUUACCUCAUCGGCUUUGACCGGGUAAGUUUUCCUUGUUAAUCUUCUCCAUUGACUACUCUUUCUUGGUUCUUCUUCUAUUAUUUUUGUAUUCCCUCCAUCCCUAAUGGCCGAUACCCUCUCCGGCAACCACCUACUAUGCCGCGAUCCUCUUCUCUUACCCCGCCAGGUUGCCCAAUCCAAUCUCCGUCUCCGGUACCUCCCCCGCGGCUCAUUCUACUGUAGCUCCUGGUCCUCUCGGAGAUGAGGACUGUGGCUGAACUGUGGCAGCCUCUGCCUGUCCUGCUGGGGGCCAUGGCCAUGAUGCCGCUGCUAUAUCGCUGAGUCGACAAUGUGGUCCUAUAAAAGCAUUACCGAGGCGUAAUGCUUGCAACCCAACAAUACAUCGUCAUCCUUCGAUCUAGCAAUCGACAACAAGGACAUUGACUAUGGCAACCAAGAGAGGAGCUGCGCGGGCUAGACUCUAGAUAAGUUGUUGUUAGGCUUAAGGAUAUAUAUUAGAUAGUCCAUGUAUUUAGAUAGUAGAUACAAAUGUUUUCCACUUGUUUAUUUA